Molecule: long non-coding RNA, 136 nt
Organism: Sphaeramia orbicularis (orbiculate cardinalfish)
Lineage: Eukaryota; Metazoa; Chordata; Actinopteri; Kurtiformes; Apogonidae
Exons: 3
Source: RefSeq, a predicted model, not a curated record
GGACAAUCCAGAUAAAGUGAGCACCCCAAGAAUGGAGAACAUUUUGCAGGGACCCUCUGGAUGCCAACAACCAGAAUCUCAUCAAGAUGGACAGCAACCAACUGCCCAGGAUCAGUUAAAAUCUUCACAGAAUCUG